This 462-nucleotide ribosomal RNA is filed under the name uncultured bacterium. RNAcentral describes it as "bacterial SSU rRNA". It matches the Rfam family "Bacterial small subunit ribosomal RNA", at positions 1 to 507 of the family's 1533-position model. The record is from RNAcentral.
ACACGACUACGAGUUUGAUCCUGGCUCAGAACGAACGCUGGCGGCAUGCCUAACACAUGCAAGUCGAACGAAGUCUUCGGACUUAGUGGCGCACGGGUGCGUAACGCGUGGGAAUCUGCCCUUGGGUUCGGAAUAACAGUGAGAAAUUACUGCUAAUACCGGAUGAUGACUUCGGUCCAAAGAUUUAUCGCCCAAGGAUGAGCCCGCGUAAGAUUAGCUAGUUGGUGAGGUAAAGGCUCACCAAGGCGACGAUCUUUAGCUGGUCUGAGAGGAUGAUCAGCCACACUGGGACUGAGACACGGCCCAGACUCCUACGGGAGGCAGCAGUGGGGAAUAUUGGACAAUGGGCGAAAGCCUGAUCCAGCAAUGCCGCGUGAGUGAUGAAGGCCUUAGGGUUGUAAAGCUCUUUUACCAGGGAUGAUAAUGACAGUACCUGGAGAAUAAGCUCCGGCUAACUCCGUG